This 1506-nucleotide long non-coding RNA is filed under the name Podarcis muralis (Common wall lizard). Its description in RNAcentral is "lncRNA (ENSPMRG00000013550.1)". The record is from RNAcentral. Lineage: Eukaryota; Metazoa; Chordata; Lepidosauria; Squamata; Lacertidae.
AUGAUUGAUGAGGAAGGUGCGAUUCACCAGGCGGAUGACCACACGAUUCCCAGUAAAGGCUACGGAACUGUUGUUCUUCACAGUUUGGACUUAUCGAUACAGAAUGUGCUUUAUGUGCCAGACGCCAAACAUAAUUUGCUCAGCGUUGGACAGCUGAAUGAGCGGAACAUUGACGUCUCCUUUAAGAACAAGAAGUGCAUCAUCACAAAGAAAAAUGAUUAUGUAUUGCAUGCUGAAUAUGUUGAUCGCUUGUUUGUUUUGUAUUAUGAUGAUGUUGUGCAGGAUGACACUUGUUGCAUUGCAGGUUCUAACAAAAGUUUGCAUGCAGGAUGUAUUCAUGAUUUUCAUCGAAAAUUUGGUCAUUUGCAUUUUGAGGCAGUUUCUAAAAUGACUGCCUUGGUUGAAGGUAUGACUAUUAAACCCUGCAGGUACCACAUGAAGUGCAAAGCAUGCGCAGCAAACAAGGUGAAAAUGGCUGCGAAAGGUAAGGUGUCUAGUAGGCAAGCUACGGAACCAUACCAGGUUGUUCAUGCUGAUUUGGUUGGACCACUAGCGCCCUCUUUGGGUGGAAAUAGGUACUUCAUGGUUCUCAUUGACGCAUUUUCUAGAUAUAUUUUUGUGUACAAUCUCAAGCAGAAAUCAGAGGCUUUUCCUAGGUUCAAGGAAUUCUGUGCUUGGUUGGAAAAUGUGCAUGGUAAGAAGAUAAAGACUCUUUUCACUGAUCGCGGGGGAGAAUUCACUUCUCAGCAGUUUGAAGCUUUUCUGACUGAGAAAGGAAUUCAACACGAUUUGUCUAGUCCUCGCUCGCCAUGGCAGAAUGGACUUGCGGAAUGGGCAAAUCAGACAUUGCUUCAAGGGUUAAAAACCUUGCUGCAUGAUGCCAAUCUUCCAGAGAGUUAUUGGGCCGAAGCUCUCUCAUGUUUUGUUUACAGUUAUAAUCGCAGGUUAUCUUCAGCGAUUGGUUGUACCCCCUAUGAGAAGAUGUUUGGCAAGAAGCCUUACAUCAAACACAUGAGAAUUUUUGGUUCUGAUAUGUGGAUUCACACACCACAAAACUCCAAGUUAGACAAGCGUGGAUUGCAUGGUAUCUUUCUAGGUUAUCAGAAAGGGUCUUACAGAAUAAUGAUGACUGACUCUAAGACAAUUAAGCUCACGAGAAGUGUUGAGUACAAUGCAAAGUGGGGGGAGAAUGUGGGAAUUUUCCAAUGUUAUCCUGAUGAUGGUGAUGAGACUGAGGAUAGUCAAAAGCAACCACAACAACCCACACCCACUGAUGAAGGUUCUGAGUCUGAAUCUGAAACUGAAUCGGGUGAUUCAGAGGAUUUCAAGAGUGCGAAAGCCUCUAUGCGACCCUCUGAAAGCUCUGAUCGAGAAGAAUUGGAGGAACCAUUGUUCACAAUAGGUCGUUUUUCUCCUAAGAAGGAAGAGGAGAGUGUUGAAGACUUAAGGUUAAUUCGUAGGUCACAGAGAGCCACAAAAGGCAAACCUCCCAAAGAGAUUUGCUGA